CAGCCGCCGCGGUAAUACCGGCGGCCCGAGUGGCGGUCACUAUUAUUGGGCUUAAAGCGUCCGUAGCCGGGUUGGGAAGUCCUCCGGGAAAUCUGGCCGCUUAACGGUCAGAAUGCCGGAGGAUACUCCCAGCCUAGGGAGCGGGAGAGGCCGAGGGUAUUCCCGGAGUAGGGGUGAAAUCCUAUAACCCCGGGAGGACCACCUGUGGCGAAGGCGCUCGGCUGGAACGCGUCCGACGGUGAGGGACGAAGGCCAGGGGAGCAAACCGGAUUAGAUACCCGGGUAGUCCUGGCUGUAAACGAUGCGGACUUUGUGUCGGACAAGCUAUGAGCUUGUCCGGUGCCGGAGGGAAACCGUUAAGUCCGCCGCCUGGGGAGUACGGCCGCAAGGCUGAAACUUAAAGGAAUUGGCGGG
RNAcentral lists this ribosomal RNA (414 nucleotides) under uncultured microorganism. Its description in RNAcentral is "bacterial SSU rRNA". It matches the Rfam family "Archaeal small subunit ribosomal RNA", at positions 459 to 872 of the family's 1478-position model. The record is from RNAcentral.